AAAAAGGCAAACUUUAGAUUUUCGUGUUCAACUUUGAUUGUCUAUCUUAUAUGAAUUUUUUUUAUAAUUCAUAUUUUCAUUAUUGUUAGAUAAUAAAACAUGAUUAAUAUUUUAUGCGUGACUUGUCUUUUUAAUUUUUUUUCUAAUUUUUUCAAAUAAGACGAACGAUCAAACGUUGGACACGGAAACUAGGGUUUGUCUUUUU
Molecule: microRNA precursor, 205 nt
Organism: Oryza sativa Indica Group (long-grained rice)
Lineage: Eukaryota; Viridiplantae; Streptophyta; Magnoliopsida; Poales; Poaceae
Rfam family: MIR812 microRNA precursor family
Source: Rfam